CUUUCGAUGCGUACCUGAACGAUAUGGAGUACCGUCGGAUGUCUCUAUGACUCUGGCUGCAAAGCCCAGGCCAAAGAACAGAGAGCCAAUAGACAUUUUACAUACACCUGUCAUUUUGAUACCAUCAAGGUGGACUGCAUGGAUUUUUCUCUACUUGCUGGAAUAAGUGACUGCCGCGGAGAAUCACAAAAUAACAAUGUAUUCCAGAUUGUG
Molecule: long non-coding RNA, 213 nt
Organism: Cyclopterus lumpus (lumpfish)
Lineage: Eukaryota; Metazoa; Chordata; Actinopteri; Perciformes; Cyclopteridae
Exons: 3
Source: RefSeq, a predicted model, not a curated record